This is a long non-coding RNA of Lycium ferocissimum, 957 nucleotides long. RefSeq lists it as uncharacterized. NCBI's taxonomy places the organism in Eukaryota, Viridiplantae, Streptophyta, Magnoliopsida, Solanales, Solanaceae. The record is from RefSeq and is a predicted model, not a curated record. The transcript has 2 exons.
ACCCCAAUCUCUUUAUUUCCUUGCAAAACAAUAAAUCCACACUUUUUAUAAAUUUACCAUGAGGGCAAAAUAGGAAUACAAAUAAUAUUUAAUAAAAAAUAAAUUACAAAAAAUUAAAAGAGAGCUCACCACAUACAUUUCUCUCUCUUUCCGUCAAAGCACAAAGGUGCUUACUUUCUAAAAUGGGUUCUUUGCAGCUAAGACCAAUAGAAGCAAAAUACCAACAAAAUCAAAAAGCAAAAAAUCAAGGAAAAUCAGCUAGAUCUACAGAUCUUCUUCCUCUCCGCCUAUUCAUCAACUUGGAAUGGAUGUCCAGAUGAUCGUCGCCUCUACCAGCUCGUUGCUGAAGCUACAACCAUCGAAAAAACCAAUGUUUCCUCGACCCAUCGAUUUCUGGUGAGUGACCUAUUUCAAAUUAAUUUCUGUCGUUUCAUGGUGGGAUUAUGACUGCGGUAGAAGAUUUCCCCAAAUAGAAGCAUGUUUGUCUUUGCGCCUCUUUAGUUUAGUGAUUGAAUCUGACCUUUUGGUUGAAAUCGAUCAACAAGAAAAUAGGCAAAGCUACAUCGGCUGGGUUCUUUAAUGCUUGAUUUUCAGCUCAAAUGAAGCAAUCAGUUUGCUUAUCAACACAUUCGCCGAAAAAAGCAAUAAACGAUGCAAUAAUUAACAACUACAAAAUUUCUCAUCUUAUCAAACAGGUUAUUUCUUAUCACCACAUUCACAUUUUUUAUCUCCUCCUUUUGCUUUCUUUAGUGUGUAUUUUAGAUUAUUUUUUUGGGUAAUAUGUUUGAGGUUCAUGUAUGUGCUCCAUAAUUUUCUUUCUGAAAGAUUGAUGUGGUUCUUCUCUCUUUUGGGAUAGAAGAAGUAGAUGGGUGCGUGUACUUUCAUGUUGGCCGGUGCGAUCGAACUAUAUUUCUCUCUGUAAUUUUAACUGAAUGCACACUCUAAAUCCUUUAUUCA